GGGUCUGUACGACUAACUGGUAACACGACCGCACUCAUUGGCUCAGCCUCCCAUUUGAAGAGGGACGGAACCAUCUGUGUGGCACAGGAUCUGUUUCCAGGAGAUAACGGCCUUUUUUUAAUUUCACAAAUGCUGCGCAGACAGAGAGCGACAGGGCGACGGAGAGAGAGAGAAUGGAGUGAGUCUUCUAUACCAAAACCUCGGCCUGAACACAGAACGUCCCCCAGACGUCCAGAGAGGACUGCCGUGGAGAGGAGGCCUUAAUAGCUUCAGUGUGUUGUUUACUCCCCGGCCUGUGAUAACGGCCUGGACACAGGGCAGACGAAAGAGGGAGGGAUUCAUUAUAUCAGGUGGCGGUGGCAAUAUGAACUUCCCAUUUUCCCCUGUCCGCCUGUCCGUUUGACUUGAUUACAACAGAGCCCAGCGCUACUGUAGAUUAGCCCAGCUGUUUCCUGUGUCCGACUCCGACGUGAACACACUUCCUACCACGACCAGGAGCGGCAACGAGAUAAGGUAAUUGGAAGAUUUCACCUGCUCCACAUGCAUCUAAAGAAGAAAACAGAAGUUAAUUCCGGUGGAUGCAAAACAGCGUUAUGAGCAGCAUUGAAUAAACGAAGACACCCCGUCCUUGCACCUGUGGUAUAGAUGGGAGGUGAAUAAACCCUGGGCAAGUUGGGGGUCAUAAUGAAUGUGCCUGCCUUUUUACGAGAGCCGCCUGGUGAUGAAGUGGGAGCCGGGCUGAGCGAUGGGAUGGGAUGGCCGGCGUUUCGGAAGGAGAAAAGGGGAGAUGCCCACUCAGCGGUGAUGGAGGUGAUGGAGGUAUAAUGUGCGAUAAUAUCACAACAAGCACCCUUCACCCACCAGGAAUUGGUCAAGUGUCUAAUUGCUUCGCUACACAAAAGGUUUGACACUGCUGCUGUGUCACACAAAAGGCAGAGGGGGUCUAUUCUGAGGCACCGUGGAGUUCAGGUCGAGGCGAAGCGUCUAAAUUUAUCCCUUCACACCCGUUUACCUCCUUUCAGUGCAGGUGGACGCCGGGUUCACAGACACCAAAGAUUUUGUGUCAUCACCUUGGUCUCAAUCAUCACUCUGAUGUGCCGCACAGGCUGAUGGAGCAAACAGCACACACACCCUAUCUCUCUCUACCUCUCUCUCUCUCUCUCUCUUUCUCUCUCUACCUCUCUCUUUCUCUCUCUCUCUCUCUCAUCCCUCCACCUCAGCUCUCAAACCACAACUCAGAAAAAGUAAAUGAAAAGAGAUAAUAAACAAUAAGAACAUAACAAUGCUUCGGCUGUAGUUUCCAGUGCUGUCCACAUGCCUCCGUUUCUAUAUCUAUUAAGCGCAACAUUUACUUAAUUAGAAAUGU
Molecule: long non-coding RNA, 1366 nt
Organism: Pleuronectes platessa (European plaice)
Lineage: Eukaryota; Metazoa; Chordata; Actinopteri; Pleuronectiformes; Pleuronectidae
Exons: 4
Source: RefSeq, a predicted model, not a curated record